CCAGACUCCUACGGGAGGCAGCAGUGGGGAAUAUUGCACAAUGGGGGGAACCCUGAUGCAGCGACGCCGCGUGAGUGAAGAAGUAUUUCGGUAUGUAAAGCUCUAUCAGCAGGGAAGAAGAUGACGGUACCUGACUAAGAAGCCCCGGCUAACUACGUGCCAGCAGCCGCGGUAAUACGUAGGGGGCAAGCGUUAUCCGGAUUUACUGGGUGUAAAGGGAGCGUAGACGGCAGGGCAAGUCUGGAGUGAAAGCCCGGGGCCCAACCCCGGGACUGCUUUGGAAACUGCCAUGCUGGAGUGCUGGAGAGGUAAGCGGAAUUCCUAGUGUAGCGGUGAAAUGCGUAGAUAUUAGGAGGAACACCGGCGGCGAAGGCGGCCUGCUGGACCGAAACUGACGUUGAGGCUCGAAAGCGUGGGGAGCAAACAGGAUUAGAUACCCUAGUA
RNAcentral lists this ribosomal RNA (444 nucleotides) under uncultured bacterium. Its description in RNAcentral is "bacterial SSU rRNA". It matches the Rfam family "Bacterial small subunit ribosomal RNA", at positions 331 to 792 of the family's 1533-position model. The record is from RNAcentral.